CACAAGCAGCGGGGCGUGUGGUUUAAUUCGUUGCUACACGAAGAACCUUACCUGGGUUUGACAUAUAGGUUGUAGGGAACUGAAAAGGGACCGACCCUUCGGGGAGCCUAUACAGGUGUUGCAUGGCUGUCGUCAGCUCGUGUCGUGAGAUGUUCGGUUAAGUCCGCUAACGAGCGCAACCCUCGUCGUAUGUUAUAUGUGUCAUACGAGACUGCCGGUAAAAGCCGGAGGAAGGUGAGGAUGAUGUCAAGUCAGCAUGACCUUUAUAUCCAGGGCUACACACACGCUACAAUGGUCUGUACAAUGGGUAGCCAAGCCGCGAGGCGGAGCCAAUCCUGAAAGCAGGCCUCAGUUCAGAUUGCAGUCUGCAACUCGACUGCAUGAAGCCGGAGUUGCUAGUAACCGCAGGUCAGCAAUACUGCGGUGAAUACGUUCCCGGGUCUU
RNAcentral lists this ribosomal RNA (444 nucleotides) under uncultured Anaerolineaceae bacterium. RNAcentral describes it as "bacterial SSU rRNA". It matches the Rfam family "Bacterial small subunit ribosomal RNA", at positions 924 to 1382 of the family's 1533-position model. The record is from RNAcentral. Lineage: Bacteria; Bacillati; Chloroflexota; Anaerolineae; Anaerolineales; Anaerolineaceae.